RNAcentral lists this ribosomal RNA (300 nucleotides) under uncultured Anderseniella sp. RNAcentral describes it as "bacterial SSU rRNA". It matches the Rfam family "Bacterial small subunit ribosomal RNA", at positions 496 to 795 of the family's 1533-position model. Lineage: Bacteria; Pseudomonadati; Pseudomonadota; Alphaproteobacteria; Hyphomicrobiales; Parvibaculaceae. The record is from RNAcentral.
GCUAACUUCGGGCCAGCAGCCGCGGUAAGACGAAGGGGGCUAGCGUUGUUCGGAAUUACUGGGCGUAAAGCGAGUGUAGGUGGUUGUCAUAGUCAGGUGUGAAAGCCUUGAGCUCAACUCAAGAAAUGCACUUGAUACUGGGCGACUAGAGGACCGGAGAGGAUAGUGGAAUUCCCAGUGUAGUGGUGAAAUACGUAGAGAUUGGGAAGAACACCAGUGGCGAAGGCGGCUAUCUGGACGGUUUCUGACACUAAGACUCGAAAGCGUGGGGAGCAAACAGGAUUAGAUACCCCUGUAGUC